UCAGCAAGUACCGUAAACAGAAGCAGUUCCCCCCUGGAAAUACUAAAAAUGGGCACAUGUCCAGGGGGGACUGCUUUUGUUUACGGUACUUGCUGA
Paramuricea clavata is the source of this 96-nucleotide non-coding RNA. The record is from the annotation of a GenBank genome assembly. NCBI's taxonomy places the organism in Eukaryota, Metazoa, Cnidaria, Anthozoa, Malacalcyonacea, Plexauridae.